UUGCUGUGUUUGAAGAAUCUCUAUCUUAACAGAAGCUUCAGAAGGAUUCAAUUAUUUGAUGGUUUGAUUGGUGCAAAGUCCAGGUGGAUUUCAGUGAAGAAUGUGAAACUCUGUCAAGAGCAGGAAAACAUUGACCAUUUGACAAGCAGAGAAGACAGACAGAUGUGGACUGUGCAGAGAUUCCAACCCUUGUGCUUCACGCACAGAGGGUUGUGGACUUCGGGCUUCUUCAUGGCUGGUUGGGGAAAAGAGACUUUUUAACACACCUCGUGAUCAUCUUGAGCAGAGGAAAUCCCGAGAACUUCCUGAAGAAAAGUUACAUGUCUCAACAACUUAGUUGAAGAGCAGCUGCACCUGGGGCACGUAGUACCAUUGAAUAGCCCCUGGAGCACCCCAGUUUUUGUCAUUAAGAAACCAGGCAAAUACAAAUGGUGCCUGCUCCAAGACUUGCACAGACUAAAUGCUGUGAUAGAAGACAUGGGACCCUACAACCUGGCCUUCCCUCCCCCUCUAUGCUUCCAAGAGAUUGGCAGCUUGCAAUCAAGAACUGCUUCUUUAACAUCCUGCUGUUUCCCGGAGACGCUCCCAGGUUUGCUUUUUCUGUACCGUCUAUCAACCGCAAAGAGCCUUACAAACACUACCACUGGGUCACCUUGCCUCAGGGCUUGAAAAACAGCCCUGUGCUCUGCCAAACCUUUGUUGCCCAAGUACUGUCCCCAGUGAGGAAACUCUUCCUCGAGGCAAUUCUUUUACACUACGUGGACGAUAUACUUGUGUGCGCACCCACUGAAACAUAUUUAAGGACCGCACUCAAAAAGACAGUAGCAGCUGUGGAAAAAGCUGGGUUCCAAAUCAUAGCUAACAAGAUACAGCUCUCCAAUCCUUGGAAAUACCUAGGAUUCCAGAUUACAGGAAAGACUGCCCUACUAC
Long non-coding RNA from Passer domesticus (house sparrow), 930 nucleotides. RefSeq lists it as uncharacterized. Lineage: Eukaryota; Metazoa; Chordata; Aves; Passeriformes; Passeridae. The record is from RefSeq and is a predicted model, not a curated record. The transcript has 3 exons.